This 397-nucleotide ribosomal RNA is filed under the name uncultured bacterium. RNAcentral describes it as "bacterial SSU rRNA". It matches the Rfam family "Bacterial small subunit ribosomal RNA", at positions 28 to 417 of the family's 1533-position model. The record is from RNAcentral.
AACGAACGCUGGCGGCGUGGAUAAGACAUGCAAGUCGAACGGGACUAAAUCUGUAGCAAUACAGGUUUAGUUUAGUGGCGAACGGGUGAGUAACACGUGGGCAACCUGCCCUCAGCUCUGGGAUAACUCCAAGAAAUUGGGGCUAAUACCGGAUAUGACCGCUGACCGCAUGGUCUGGUGGUGGAAAGAUUUAUCGGGCUGGGGGAUGGGGCCCGCGGCCUAUCAGCUUGUUGGGGGGUAGUGGCCUACCAAGGCGACGACGGGUAGCCGGCCUGAGAGGGUGACCGGCCACACUGGGACUGAGACACGGCCCAGACUCCUACGGGAGGCAGCAGUGGGGAAUAUUGCGCAAUGGGCGAAAGCCUGACGCAGCGACGCCGCGUGGGGAUGACGGCCU